AUUGGUAUGAACUAGUCUCGCUGAUCCCUCCCUCUUGACGAACUGUGAUGCCAUUAAUUUGGUGUCGCAGGGAAUCAGGACUGUUACUUUGAAAAAAUUAGAGUGUUUAAAGCAGGCUUUCGCUUGAAUACAUUAGCAUGGAAUAAUGAAAUAGGACGUUUGAUCCUAUUUUGUUGGUUUCUAGGAUUGACGUAAUGGUUAAUAGGGAUAGUUGGGGGCAUUAGUAUUCAAUUGUCAGAGGUAAAAUUCUUGGAUUUAUUGAAGACUAACUACUGCGAAAGCAUUUGCCAAGGAUGUUUUCAUUAAUCAAGAACGAAAGUUAGGGGAUCGAAGACGAUCAGAUACCGUCGUAGUCUUAACCAUAAACUAUGCUGACUAGGGAUCGGAUGAUGUUAAUUUUUUAAUGACUCAUUCGGCGCCUUACG
Molecule: ribosomal RNA, 425 nt
Filed under: uncultured Glomeromycotina
Lineage: Eukaryota; Fungi; Glomeromycota
Description: SSU rRNA
Rfam family: Eukaryotic small subunit ribosomal RNA
Source: RNAcentral